Molecule: long non-coding RNA, 5127 nt
Organism: Pan troglodytes (chimpanzee)
Lineage: Eukaryota; Metazoa; Chordata; Mammalia; Primates; Hominidae
Exons: 4
Source: RefSeq, a predicted model, not a curated record
AAAAAAAAAUAAAAGAGAGGGGGAGAAAGAGAGAGAAACAGAAAAAAAUCAAAGACUAAUCCUACAAAUUCUCCUUUAAUCUUAGAGUUUCCAGACCUAGUUUCUCUUUCAUCUAGGACUUCGAAGUUAUCUAGUUAUUUUAUGGGUAGUGAAACCACAAGGCGAAGAGAGGGUGGUGGGGGGGAGAUUAAAUUAAUGAGCAGGUAAGCAGGUUUAUUAUUUCGUCUGAUCCUUCCUUCCUGCUAAUUUCUCUGAGCCAAUUUGGGAGGCAGAGCCUAUCAUGUUAACUCAGAGACAGAGUAUUGUAUCCAUGUUCUUUCUGAAGCCAUUUAUCUGAAGGAUAUUAAAGAUCCAAUUUACAUAGACAUUAUGGCAUUGUGAGGAGGGUGUGUGCAUGUGCGCAAAUGAGAGAGAGAAAGAGAGAGAGAGAGCGCUAGGGUAUCCAUCCAAUUGGGCCUGUGUUUGUAUACAUGCUCAACCUCCAAUGAGUGCCAUCCCUCAUGAGGCUCUCAUAGAAGUUUGCAAUCACUCAGCAAGUUAGUUCAAGAAGUCACUGGGCCUUGACACAAAUCAGGCUCCAGGCAAUGGCGGAAAUGUUUAUUAAAUUUGUGCUUCAACCCUCAGGCUCCUGCAUUUCCUUAUUGCUCCUAGGUUCACAGUAGAGGAAAUAGGGCCCUCUUGAGCUUGAUAUCUGCUUAAUUAAAUGCCUGAUCGUAUUGCCCCAGCCCAUGCGUGUGCCUAUGUAAUGAGGCACAGGGUAGGAUAGAUGCAGAAAAGAGGUCAGAUUACCAGAUUAACCCUCAGCUCCUAGGUUAACCCCAUCCAGUAAACAGAGAGCCCUCGAUUCCCCACAAGGAAACUGCGUGACCUGGGACAUUCUACAUAAUCUGGCAGCCGGGACUGUCAUUUUAGUCACUCAUGAAAUGUAGAUUAAAAAACACCUAUUCUUCCUAUGAUUCUGCUUUGUUAAAAGCAUUGAAUGAAGAGAUAUACACAAUAGCAUGCUACAGAGAAUUUAGCAGGAAUGAGGGGAUAUGAAGCAACUACAGUGGUUUGUUGUGAAGAUUCUUUCAGGAAUAGCCAAUGUCCCUUUGCUUAUGUUGGGCUAAACAGGGAGCCUUCUGAUGGAUAAUCUGGCCUCCUAAGCAGACUUUCUCACCAGCCCAUGCCAAUGGCUAGUGCCAGCGGUCCUAUUAGGGAUGCUGCCAUUGUGAAUGAGUGUGCUGUCAUUCACCUCCAAUGCUUCCAUUCAUUCAUUGUGUAUUAGUCUGUUUUCACUCUGCUAGUAAAGACCUACCUGCCUAAGCCUUUGCUGAGCCUGAGCACCGGUGAGGGAGAAGCGCCUUUUGUUUUGAAGAAGCCCGGCCUGAGAGACAGAUGUCGAUGACUUCGUAAGAAGAGGCUUUGGUUGGAUUUGGGGAGCCAUUCGAAGGACACCCUGGAUAGAUCUGAGAAUGAACUCUCUGAAUUAGAAAUAAAGUAUAGCGGCAGGCUGGCUGAGUCUGGGUCAUUUAUUAAGGAAAGAGGUUUAAUUGACUCACAGUUACAUAUGGCUGGGGAGGCUUCACAAUCAUGGUGGAAGACAAAUGAGGAGAAAAAUCAUGUCUUACAUGGCAGCAGGCAAGAGAGCAUGUGCAGGGGAAUUCCCAUUUAUAAAACCAUCAGAUCUCGUGAGACUUAUUCACUACCAUGAAAACCGUAUGGGGGGAGCUGCCCCAUAAUUCAAUUAUCUCCACCUGGCCCUGCCCUUGACAUAUGGGGACUAUUACAAUUCAAGGUGAAAUUUGGGUGGGGACUCAGCGAAACCAUACCACAUUAGUUCUUCCAUUGUUCAGCUGCCAUUCAUUGAUGAUCUGGUACAAUUGUUCAUAGCCUUGACUUUCCUUUAGAUCACGCUGUGAAGUUAUAACUCUCAUGCCUGGGCCUAUUCCCAGACCAAUUAAUUCAGAGGCUCUGAGAGUGGCUCCUAGCCACUGGUAUUUUAGUAAGGCACCCUAGGCUGUUCUAAUGAGUAGACAGGGUUAAAAUCAUUGACCUGGUAUAUGCCAUACAUUGUGCUUGUCCCAGAAGAUACACAGAUGAAUAAGAUGCUCUUAGCUCAAUGCAAACCAUCCCCCUAGUACUGAUCACCCCUGGGAACAUGGGGUGAUUAUAUUAAUAUUUCUCAACUGAAAAGUUGAGACCUAAACUUUCUGAUGACCCCUCUAGAUGAUCUUCUCCACCUGCCUUUACUCAUGAGCCCAGCUUGCUGGCCUGACCCCUGCUCUUCAGAAUGAUAGGCAGUGCCUAAGUCCCAGGUAUCACUAAGAUCACCUUGGCUUCCCAGUGUGGCCUCUCUCCUGGUCCGGGCAUCUCUCAGGUCACUGCCUGGAGCACUGUUGGUGAAGCUGUUUUGGUGAUGGUUGGUCUGUUUUCCACCCAGGUUCUGGGCCAGAUCCUCAUGGAAUCCGUGAGAAGACAAUAUUCUCAACAGCUAUCUGCCUCAUAUUUCUUUCCUUCAGUUGCUUCCAGAAGAGUGGCUCUUUUCUUCCCUCUUGAAGCCUGGACUCUCGCUGGACCUGCAGUGAAGUUUAUGGUGGCAAGUUGAUUUCAAUACCUGAUUGAUUGAUAGCUGUUGCCUAGAAAGAAGGCUGCGUAGAAAAGGAUUUUGAGGUUGCACCUGGGCUCAGUGGGAAAGAAGGCUGCGGUUGAUUGGUGACAAAACUGAGGCUCAGAGGCCAAUGGCCUUGUUCAAGGUCACACGCCCACUAAAUGAGAGACCCGGAGACCUGGCAUCACAUGCAUCCCUUGAAUGUUUAUGAAACACCUAUCAUAUGCCAGACCUUGUGCCAAGUGCUCAGGAUGCAAGAGAUAAAGAUUUGAGAAAUGCAUUGUGUGACUAAGGUGACAAAGAAACAACAGCAAUUCACUGGGCUAAGUGGUUUGUACAACAACCAGGAGACAGCAGAUUAAUUCUGUCUAGGAGCUCAGGAUGGCACUUGAACCAGACCUUGAAAAAUGUGCACAGGAUUUUGCCAUCAGAGAAACAAGGUGAGGACAUGUUAAGCAGAGAGGACUUUGAACCAAAGCUCUGAAGCACAGAGGUCUAUGAUCUAUCAGUGGCAGCAGGUGAGGCUAGAGAAAGCUGGGACCAGAUUGGAAGAGGCCAGGGAGACUACCUGAAGGGGCUGGAUCUUACAUGAGAACAUUAGGAAGCCCCUAAAAUUCUGUAAGCAGGGAGGUGACAUGGCUAGAUGUGCUUUUCAGAAAGGCUUCCUGGGGCAUGAAGAAUGGACUGGACUGGAGGGGGAGGAAGGAGUGGGGUAACAAUAGAGGGGAAUAAUUCAGAAGACAGAAGAGGCCCAAAUUAGGCAACUGGCUAGGGGAAGGAAAGGUUUGGACUUGGUGAAAUGGAGCUGUGUGAAAAAAAGGAGUAGGAGCUGACUUGGGUGUCUGGUUCAGGAAAGAAGGAGGGUGGUGAUGUCAUUAACCUGGAGAAGGAACAAACUCAGCACAAAUGAUUCCCAGCUGUGCCUAUUCUCAAACACAGAAAAGCCAGAAAUAGGCUUGGCCCUGUGACCAGCAAGAGGGUCCCCUAUGAUCAGAUGAGAUUAAGGGGCUAAUAUCCUCAACUGACUUUAAGGUUGAAAGAAAAAAGGACCUCCCUUAAGUCCCUAUUUCUUUAUGUGUUUUGGAGGACCCUAAGAAAAAUGGGGGUGAAUAAUUGUUUAGGAAAAUAUAAACAUAAAGACUGUAUUAUUUUAUAACUACCUUACAACUAUAACUAUAUUGCAUAAUAUAAAGUGGUAAAAUUAUAAAUGUUCUAGUGUUUAAAAAUUAAUGGAACCAUGGGUGAAUUUUAUUUGUAUAUACUUUUCUAUGUUUUUCAAAUCUUCUAUCAUGAACAUACAUAAUUUUUAUAAUGAAAAAAGUUAACUCUAAAAAAAUGCGCAAAAGACUUGAGUAAACGCAGAAGACAACCAAGUAACCAAUAAAUAAAAAGAUCCCUACCUUUAUUAGACAUCAAGAAAAUGCUAUGUAAAGUCACUAUACAAUGCUACUACAUAUGUAGCCAACUGAUAAAAUGAAAAAGAUGGAAAAUAUCAAGUGUUGGCAUGAAUGUAGAAAAAAUGGAACUCUCAUACAUUGCUUGUAAGGAGUGUAAAUUUAUAGAAUUAUUUUGUAAAACUUCUUGUUAGUAUAUUUUAUGUACACUAUAGCUGAACAUAUGCAAACACUACAACCAAGCAAUUCCACUCCUAAGUAUAUAUCCAAAAGAAAUGCAUACAUAUGUUGACCAAGAAAUAAGUACAGUGUUCACAGUAUAACUAUUUGUAGUCAUACCAAUCUGGAAACUAUUCUAAUGCCCAUCAAUAGUACACUAGAUAAAUUAUGAUAUAUUAAUACGGUGCAAUAUGAUGCAGCAAUGAAAAUUAGCAUUCUACAGCUAUAUGCAAUAGUAGGAAUGCUUCUCAAAGACAUAAUUUUGAGUGAAAGAAGAGAGACAUUUAUAGGAAGACAAAGCCAAUCUAUGCCAUUUGAAGUCUGGAUGAUGCUUACUCUUGUGGAAUGUAUAACUAGAAGGGAGCAUGGUGAAGGCUUCUGGAGUCCUAGUAAUGUUUUGUUUCUUAUGGGUGCUGAUUGAUUAUACAGGUACAUUUCUGGGAAUUCAUUGAGCUGUAUGAUAUAGUGUAUGUAUGUUAUACUUCAAUAAAAACUUAAAAUAUAUAAAUAUUGGUCUAAAAAUCAACUAAAAUAGAGCAGUAGAAAUAAGACACUGGUGAUUAUACCAGUAAUAUUUAGGGGAACUCCCUGGUUCCCUAGCCUGGUUUUAGUGUCUACAGGUGAUGGUAGGAGGACAGAGCUAGGUGCUAGGAAUUGUAACACAGAGGUAAAAGACAUCUACACCAGCAUUUCUAGAUCCAUAAAGCCCCAGGAUCUGAAAAAAAAAAAACCACAUUUCUUCUUAUUGAGUAUAGGAACAAGUACCUAAUAUUAGGAAUGAAAAAGGUGAUACUACUACAGAUCCCACAGAACUAAGAAGAACAUGAAGCUAUUAUAAACAACUCCAUACCAAUACAUUUGCAACUGUAGGUUUAAUGGACAUAUUUCUCAAAAAAAAAAAAAAAAUCCCACAACUUACCAAAA